RNAcentral lists this ribosomal RNA (463 nucleotides) under uncultured bacterium. Its description in RNAcentral is "partial 16S ribosomal RNA". It matches the Rfam family "Bacterial small subunit ribosomal RNA", at positions 28 to 507 of the family's 1533-position model. The record is from RNAcentral.
GACGAACGCUGGCGGCGUGCUUAACACAUGCAAGUCGAGCGGAAAGGCCACUUCGGUGGUACUCGAGCGGCGAACGGGUGAGUAACACGUGAGUAAUCUGCCCCUCACUUUGGGAUAGCCACCGGAAACGGUGAUUAAUACCGGAUAUGACCAUAUGUCGCAUGGCGUGUGGUGGAAAGUUUUUCGGUGAGGGAUGUGCUCGCGGCCUAUCAGCUUGAUGGUGAGGUAAUGGCUCACCAUGGCUUCGACGGGUAGCCGGCCUGAGAGGGUGACCGGUCACACUGGGACUGAGACACGGCCCAGACUCCUACGGGAGGCAGCAGUGGGGAAUAUUGGACAAUGGGCGGAAGCCUGAUACAGCAACGCCGCGUGAGGGAUGACGGCCUUCGGGUUGUAAACCUCUUUCAGUACCGACGAAGCGCAAGUGACGGUAGGUACAGAAGAAGCACCGGCCAACUACGUG